UACGUAGGGGGCUAGCGUUGUCCGGAUUUAUUGGGCGUAAAGAGCGUGUAGGCGGCCAGGUAGGUCUGCUGUGAAAACUCGAGGCUCAACCUCGAGAUGUCGGCGGAAACCAUCUGGCUAGAGUCCGGAAGAGGAGAGUGGAAUUCCUGGUGUAGCGGUGAAAUGCGCAGAUAUCAGGAAGAACACCCGUGGCGAAGGCGGCUCUCUGGGACGGUACUGACUCUGAGACGCGAAAGCGUGGGGAGCGAACAGG
RNAcentral lists this ribosomal RNA (253 nucleotides) under uncultured bacterium. RNAcentral describes it as "partial 16S ribosomal RNA". It matches the Rfam family "Bacterial small subunit ribosomal RNA", at positions 524 to 776 of the family's 1533-position model. The record is from RNAcentral.